This 253-nucleotide ribosomal RNA is filed under the name uncultured bacterium. Its description in RNAcentral is "partial 16S ribosomal RNA". It matches the Rfam family "Bacterial small subunit ribosomal RNA", at positions 524 to 776 of the family's 1533-position model. The record is from RNAcentral.
UACGGAGGGUGCAAGCGUUAUCCGGAAUUACUGGGUUUAAAGGGUGCGUAGGCGGCUUUAUAAGUCAGGGGUGAAAGCUUGCCGCUUAACGGUAAAAUUGCCUUUGAUACUGUAGAGCUUGAAAGAGGUUGAGGUCAGCAGAAUGUGGCAUGUAGCGGUGAAAUGCAUAGAUAUGCCAUAGAACACCGAUUGCGAAGGCAGCUGGCUGGGCCUACUUUGACGCUGAGGCACGAAAGCGUGGGGAGCGAACAGG